Molecule: ribosomal RNA, 600 nt
Filed under: Streptomyces sp. MWW005
Lineage: Bacteria; Bacillati; Actinomycetota; Actinomycetes; Kitasatosporales; Streptomycetaceae
Also listed under: 2 other names
Description: bacterial SSU rRNA
Rfam family: Bacterial small subunit ribosomal RNA
Source: RNAcentral
GGCGAACGGGUGAGUAACACGUGGGCAAUCUGCCCUUCACUCUGGGACAAGCCCUGGAAACGGGGUCUAAUACCGGAUAUGACACGGGGUCGCAUGAUCUCCGUGUGGAAAGCUCCGGCGGUGAAGGAUGAGCCCGCGGCCUAUCAGCUUGUUGGUGGGGUGAUGGCCUACCAAGGCGACGACGGGUAGCCGGCCUGAGAGGGCGACCGGCCACACUGGGACUGAGACACGGCCCAGACUCCUACGGGAGGCAGCAGUGGGGAAUAUUGCACAAUGGGCGAAAGCCUGAUGCAGCGACGCCGCGUGAGGGAUGACGGCCUUCGGGUUGUAAACCUCUUUCAGCAGGGAAGAAGCGAGAGUGACGGUACCUGCAGAAGAAGCGCCGGCUAACUACGUGCCAGCAGCCGCGGUAAUACGUAGGGCGCAAGCGUUGUCCGGAAUUAUUGGGCGUAAAGAGCUCGUAGGCGGCUUGUCGCGUCGGAUGUGAAAGCCCGGGGCUUAACCCCGGGUCUGCAUUCGAUACGGGCAGGCUAGAGUUCGGUAGGGGAGAUCGGAAUUCCUGGUGUAGCGGUGAAAUGCGCAAAUAUCAGGAGGAACACC